This is a long non-coding RNA of Paramisgurnus dabryanus, 701 nucleotides long. RefSeq lists it as uncharacterized. NCBI's taxonomy places the organism in Eukaryota, Metazoa, Chordata, Actinopteri, Cypriniformes, Cobitidae. The record is from RefSeq and is a predicted model, not a curated record.
AUUUGUUCCCUUCAGGUGUCUGCCACUGCAGUUGAUGUUGAGACAACUCUCAGUCUUCCUGCAAGUCCUCGCCUGAUACCUGUUUUAAGGGCAUCACACCAACAUUUGCAAUUGGACUUGCUGCUAUGUUUGCAACCUACUACAUUUUCAGCCUUCAGUAUCAAGAUGAGACAGCCUGCCCUGUGGAAUUCAAAAUUAAUGUGUUUGCGCUUCAUUGAUAUAAAUCCAGAGAGAGGGACAAAUGCCAAAAUCAUCAAGCAAGGUUGUCUCUAAGAAGAAAGGUGUGAUGGUCCAGAAGUCGUCUUCUGCAGUCAAAUACACAUGUGGCCAUACUACUGAAGAAUCUCCUUGACUUUUUAAUGGAACUUCAUAUAGAUCUUGGCAGCACUGGAAUAAUGCUGCAGAGAGGAACAGCGGCUAUCAAAGUGAUGAUCGUCUCUUCAUCCACAAGAACUAAGAUGUAAAAACACAAACCUACCUCACAGGACAAUUUUAAGAGGUAACCUGCAAGUCUAGCUUGCAGUGGCAUAGGUGCCUACCCUACGGUUUCAUCCUUAAUGUUUUUAUGCAUGUUAUUGAUACAUCCUGACAAAAUGUUCUACUGUACUAUAAUAGUUUCAAAAUGGCCUUAGGUAUGUUUUCAAACUUAUGUCUUAAAUAAAAAAGUAAACUAUAGGUUAUGCCCUUCACAUUUGGUAAGG